Molecule: ribosomal RNA, 363 nt
Filed under: uncultured bacterium
Lineage: Bacteria
Description: bacterial SSU rRNA
Rfam family: Bacterial small subunit ribosomal RNA
Source: RNAcentral
AUUGAACGCUGGCGGCGUGCUUAACACAUGCAAGUCGAUCGGUAACAGGUGUAGCAAUACAUGCUGACGAGAGGCGGACGGGUGAGUAAUGCUUGGGAAUCUGCCUAUUAGUGGGGACAACCCGGGGAAACUCGGGCUAAUACCGCAUACGCUCUACGGAGGAAAGCCGGGGACCGCAAGGCCUGGCGCUAAUAGAUGAGCCCAAGUCGGAUUAGCUAGUUGGAGGGUAACGGCCUACCAAGGCGACAAUCCGUAGCUGGUCUGAGAGGACGACCAGCCACACCGGAACUGAGACACGGUCCGGACUCCACGGGAGGCAGCAGUGGGGAAUAUUGGACAAUGGGGGCAACCCUGAUCCAGCGA